Colius striatus (speckled mousebird) is the source of this 2051-nucleotide long non-coding RNA. RefSeq lists it as uncharacterized. The record is from RefSeq and is a predicted model, not a curated record. Lineage: Eukaryota; Metazoa; Chordata; Aves; Coliiformes; Coliidae. The transcript has 3 exons.
AUUCCAAGACAGGGGCUAGCUAUGUAGGCACCCUUGUGCUGCUGAGUUGCAUGGACAGCUUCAGGCAACAGCUUUUAUCAUGUCUAGGGCCAGGUUCAGCUGCAAAGCUGGCUGUUAAAGGGGACAAAAUGAUAAAGCCAUGGCUUCAUGCACUUCUGCAUGGCUUCUGGAGGCACUUUAGGAACAAAGCAGAGGAAUGCCUUGCUCCCUGACAUGAACUGUGCUCCCAAGGUUGAAUUCCUUCAACUAGCAAUUAAAAGAGCUCAUGCAAGAAGAGGGAAGAGUGGAGGUAAAGCUCAUUUCUGCCAAGCCCCGAAUCUGGAUAGAAGCAAGAGGUUAAAGUAUUUCGUAUGAAAAACUCUGGUUACUAUAUAAGUCCAAAAUUGACAGAAAAUUGAAAAUCAAGAGUCCUGGUGCCUACGGAGCCUGAUGUAUUUUGUUACCUACAUGUUAAAUUAUGCUUCCACUGCUAGUUAAAUACAGCAAAGGCAAUUCAGCUGUAUCUGAUUGGCACUGCUUCAAGAUUUUUGACAUUCAGCAGGACAAGAAUAUGCAGCUGCAAAAAGCAAAACAAAGCAAAAACUCUCAAGCUGCACAUGCUAGAAUGGCAACAAGCCCAACUGCAACAGUUUACCAGACUCACUCAGCUAAUCAGAUACUGGGACACACAACGAAUGCUUUUGCUGACUAAAUUAUACAAUGAGAUUGUUUUGUUUUAAUGCAAAGUCCAAAUGUUUCACUCUGCAUACAAUGUCACACACUUCCAUGAAACUUAUUUUAAUUACAUGCAUGAAUGCGGUCAAAAAUUUCAGUUGCCAAUACUGUAACACUCCUGCAGAUCUACUUUUUAUCAUCCCUGUGCUCCUGUAGGAUACAGUAGCCAUUAAGCUGCAGCAGAAGGAUUGCUUUCUGAAAGAGUAUGUACUGAUUACUUCUUUAUUGUAGUGAGCUUUAAGCAAAUAUUACUGAUAUAUACACACUUCACUAUCAAAUCUGCAGUGCUUUAUUUGGAAAUAUUUUGCUUUCUUAUUAAAUCAAAGAGCUGUCCAGGAAGUUAUAAGUCAGGACAAUAAACAGAAAUACAGGAAAAGUAUCUGAUUAAUCUAAACAUAUUUUCUCUACUAGGUAGAUUAAUAUGAAUUUUGGCUCAAGAGGUCAGGCUGAAAGGAUAUGAUAGUGAAAGCUCAUGAAUGGAAUUGGUUUAGGUCAGGAAGUUUUGGGAAACAUCUUAGUUCAGAAAUCUCUAGGAUCACUGGAUUGUGGUUUUGUUUGUUUUUUUUUUCCCUCAAACACUGAAAUAAGAGCUGGAGCAAUUCUGUGUAGCACCAGUGCUACACUGCUGAUUUGUCUCUGUGAACUCAAACACAUAUUAGGAAAGCACUGAAGAAUGUCCUUAUGGUUACCUUGAUUUAAGAAAAUACAAAGCCUGCUUUUAAUUUUAAGCACAUGCUUAGGUCUCUUUCCAGGUUGAAAAAGUGCUUACAGAUUUUCCUGGUUACUGAAGGCCUUCUAUAAAUAUUCAUAUAUGGACACUUCCUCUUCCACAUCAUACAAAUUAAGUUUUCUAAUUAUACUCAGAUUCUACGAUGAGGCAGUCUAUUGAAGAACUUUUUAAAGAUAAGAAGUGAGUGUGAUUCUAUGUGACUUCAGUGAUUGAGAUAUUAGUCACAUAAUCUGUUCUAGUCUUCUGCAUCCCCUCUGGAAUCAAAGGAAGAGAUAAAGGUUUCUAGAAGGUUAUUUAUUCUGUGCCUAAAAUUAGGUACACUGAACUACAUAAUGUCUAAUAAUUUUGUCUCCCCCCUAAGGAAAAAAAACCCAAUAACACUCGUCUUUGCUGAGAUCCAGACAUAAAGAGUGUUAAAACAUUUCUAGGGUUAUUUAAAUUUGCUUUUUCUAUUCUCCUAUCAUUUCAUACUCCUUACAGAGGCCAUUCCUUUUGUACUUGAUAAAUACCAAUGGACAAAGUCCCUGCCUUUGCCAUAUAAAAGUGCUGCAAUAUUUUGGCAUAGUGGGCAAUCAAAUCCUUAUUUACUAAGUGUAACUGAUUAUAU